RNAcentral lists this ribosomal RNA (508 nucleotides) under uncultured bacterium. Its description in RNAcentral is "partial 16S ribosomal RNA". It matches the Rfam family "Bacterial small subunit ribosomal RNA", at positions 28 to 523 of the family's 1533-position model. The record is from RNAcentral.
GAUGAACGCUAGCUACAGGCUUAACACAUGCAAGUCGAGGGGAAACGACAUCGAAAGCUUGCUUUUGAUGGGCGUCGACCGGCACACGGGUGAGUAACGCGUAUCCAACCUGCCCACCACUUGGGGAUAACCUUGCGAAAGUAAGACUAAUACCCAAUGAUAUCUCUAGAAGGCAUCAGAAAGAGAUUAAAGAUUUAUCGGUGAUGGAUGGGGAUGCGUCUGAUUAGCUUGUUGGCGGGGUAACGGCCCACCAAGGCUACGAUCAGUAGGGGUUCUGAGAGGAAGGUCCCCCACAUUGGAACUGAGACACAGUCCAAACUCCUACGGGAGGCAGCAGUGAGGAAUAUUGGUCAAUGGACGGGAGUCUGAACCAGCCAAGUAGCGUGCAGGAUGACGGCCCUAUGGGUUGUAAACUGCUUUUAUAAGGGAAUAAAGUGAGUCUCGUGAGACUUUUUGCAUGUACCUUAUGAAUAAGGACCGGCUAAUUCCGUGCCAGCCGCCGCCGUAA